RNAcentral lists this ribosomal RNA (812 nucleotides) under Sulfitobacter sp. SJ1788. RNAcentral describes it as "bacterial SSU rRNA". It matches the Rfam family "Bacterial small subunit ribosomal RNA", at positions 59 to 916 of the family's 1533-position model. Lineage: Bacteria; Pseudomonadati; Pseudomonadota; Alphaproteobacteria; Rhodobacterales; Roseobacteraceae. The record is from RNAcentral.
CAGUCGAGCGCACCCCUUCGGGGGCGAGCGGCGGACGGGUUAGUAACGCGUGGGAACAUACCCUUUACUACGGAAUAGCCUCGGGAAACUGAGAGUAAUACCGUAUGUGCCCUUCGGGGGAAAGAUUUAUCGGUAAAGGAUUGGCCCGCGUUAGAUUAGAUAGUUGGUGGGGUAAUGGCCUACCAAGUCUACGAUCUAUAGCUGGUUUUAGAGGAUGAUCAGCAACACUGGGACUGAGACACGGCCCAGACUCCUACGGGAGGCAGCAGUGGGGAAUCUUAGACAAUGGGCGCAAGCCUGAUCUAGCCAUGCCGCGUGUGUGAUGAAGGCCUUAGGGUCGUAAAGCACUUUCGCCAGAGAUGAUAAUGACAGUAUCUGGUAAAGAAACCCCGGCUAACUCCGUGCCAGCAGCCGCGGUAAUACGGAGGGGGUUAGCGUUGUUCGGAAUUACUGGGCGUAAAGCGUACGUAGGCGGAUCAGAAAGUAUGGGGUGAAAUCCCAGGGCUCAACCCUGGAACUGCCUCAUAAACUCCUGGUCUUGAGUUCGAGAGAGGUGAGUGGAAUUCCAAGUGUAGAGGUGAAAUUCGUAGAUAUUUGGAGGAACACCAGUGGCGAAGGCGGCUCACUGGCUCGAUACUGACGCUGAGGUACGAAAGUGUGGGGAGCAAACAGGAUUAGAUACCCUGGUAGUCCACACCGUAAACGAUGAAUGCCAGUCGUCGGGCAGUAUACUGUUCGGUGACACACCUAACGGAUUAAGCAUUCCGCCUGGGGAGUACGGNCGCAAGAUUAAAACUCAAAGGAAUUGACGG